This 406-nucleotide unclassified non-coding RNA is filed under the name soil metagenome. Its description in RNAcentral is "partial contains 5.8S ribosomal RNA, internal transcribed spacer 2, and large subunit ribosomal RNA". The stretch from base 1 to 121 matches the Rfam family "5.8S ribosomal RNA", at positions 35 to 154 of the family's 154-position model. The record is from RNAcentral.
GAUGAAGAACGUAGCGAAAUGCGAUAAGUAAUGUGAAUUGCAGAAUUCAGUGAAUCAUCGAAUCUUUGAACGCACCUUGCGCCCUUUGGACAUUCCGAAGGGCAUGCCUGUUUGAGUAUCAUGAACACCUCAACUCUCACGGCUUGUCCGUGAUGAGCUUGGACUUUGGGGGUCUUGCCGGCCUGUGGUCGGCUCCUCUCAAAUGGAUCAGCUUGCCAGUGUUUGGUGGCAUCACAGGUGUGAUAACUAUCUGCGCUUGUGGUUUUCCAUCAGAUAACCUUCAGUGAUAUGGAGGUUCGCUGGAGCUCACAAAUGUCUCUCCUUAGUGAGGACAGCUCUUUGAACGUUUGAUCUCAAAUCAGGUAGGACUACCCGCUGAACUUAAGCAUAUCAAUAAGCGGAGGGA